Hyla sarda is the source of this 1332-nucleotide long non-coding RNA. RefSeq lists it as uncharacterized. The transcript is spliced from 3 exons. The record is from RefSeq and is a predicted model, not a curated record. NCBI's taxonomy places the organism in Eukaryota, Metazoa, Chordata, Amphibia, Anura, Hylidae.
GGGACCACUGCUUGGCUGGUGCUGUACUCGUGUAAUAGUGUAUGAUAGUGGCGACUUUUGUGCCAAAUUUUACAAAUACCGGUACAUUUUUCAAAGAAAUUGUUGGUCACCCUUUCAUGAAUUGUAUAAAUAAAUGUAAAAAAAAAACAUCAAAAUGGAUGGCCAGUAGUGCAGAAAACUCCUUCCUUCAUGGGGUUGUUACUGUAGGAGAAAGCACCCAGUUCUUGACUUGGCAGAUUUAUAUACAAAUGAGAUGCAUUGGGCUUGUCCCUCUCUCCUCCACACUGUGAUGACUACUCCCCCUCCGUCACUCUGUUCUGACUCACAGAGGGCCCAAGACCUGUCUGCAGCCCUGUCAAUCACUCAUGGUGUCAAUGACGAUGACCACUGGACACUGCAGGACUGGUCAUAACUGUAUAACCCUAAUCCUGAAGACAGAUUUCCUUUAAAUGAUAUAUUUAUUAGGCUAUUUCUAUGUAAACUAUUGACAGAAACAACAUUUUCAAGAAAACAAUGAAUUAUACAUUUUAAAAUCAUGACAAAGUAAUCGCAAUGUCUCGUCAUUAUUGUUAAACAAAUCUUUUCAUAAGAAGGUCAAGCUGAAUGUUAUAUUUGAAGCCGUCAUGUGACAUAUUUGUGUAGCCAGUUAUAAGUCCUUCAUCGCAUUGGACAGCACCUGAUUGCCAUAAAGAAUCUAAAGACCGCAUCAGAUUCCUUGUCAGCAAAACAGUGAACAGUAAAAAUGAAAGACAGAAAACUAGAAACCUGGGAUAACACACUAUGCUUUGUAGAAGUCGAGAAUAGAAUACAAAGGACAUCUGUCUGAUCAUAGAGGUUAUGUCUCAAUACUGUGUGCUUGGAUGACACAUCUGACAAUCAUUUUAUCUUUAAUAUGCAACAUAAUUCAUAACAACAUAAUGUUGUUCUGCACUUUAUAUACUUGUCUGUAGUUGAUACUCUUAAAGGGGUACUCCGCUGCUCAACGUUUGGAACAACGCCGUCAUGCCCCCUCCCAUAGACUUGCAUUGAGGGGGCAGGGUGUGACAUAAUGAGGGGUCGGGGCUAUGACGUCACGAGCUCCCAGCGUCAGCUCCAGCAUUCCGAACAGUUUGUUCCAAACGCUGAUCAGCGGAGUACGCUUUUAAGUAAAGGAUGUUCAAUUGUAGAGAAACCUAAAUGUAAUACUAAGUUAUGUUUGCGGUAAAAUCCUGGAAAAAUACAUUUAUCCAUAUUGCAACUUGUGACUUCUCAGUCAUGUAAAGAUUUACUACACAAACUAUCCUUUUAUGUAUUAAAUUGUUUUAAUCCAACAGAAAAAAUAAAUCAACCAGU